This 253-nucleotide ribosomal RNA is filed under the name uncultured bacterium. Its description in RNAcentral is "partial 16S ribosomal RNA". It matches the Rfam family "Bacterial small subunit ribosomal RNA", at positions 524 to 776 of the family's 1533-position model. The record is from RNAcentral.
UACGUAUGGUGCAAGCGUUAUCCGGAUUUACUGGGUGUAAAGGGAGCGUAGGCGGCGCGUUAAGUCUGAUGUGAAAACCCGAGGCUCAACCACGGGAGUGCAUUGGAAACUGGCGAGCUGGAGUGCCGGAGAGGUAAGCGGAGUUCCUAGUGUAGCGGUGAAAUGCGUAGAUAUUAGGAGGAACACCAGUGGCGAAGGCGGCUUACUGGACGGCAACUGACGCUGAGGCUCGAAAGCGUGGGGAGCAAACAGG